UAAUUAAAAAAGGUAAACUUUAAUUUGCCCCAUGUCAUUUAGGGGUGUUUGGGUCGUUUAUUUUCGGUAUGAAAAAUAAUAUUUUCUUGCUUAUUUGGUUAUUUGUAGAAUAAUUUUUUCGUAAAAAUAUUAUUAUGGAUUUGAGAAAAAAAUUAAAGGCUAAAUUACAUAAAACCCUCCGUCAAAAUCCGAUUUUUCAUUUUCUUCCUCUGUUAUUUAAAAAUCUACACCUUCCCUCCUUGUAAAAUAAAAAAUGUUCACAGAGGGUACGGUGUGUACUGUGAUGAUAAAAUGACCAUUUUGCCCCUCACCAUUAUCGUCUCCUCCCUCAUCUUUCUCAACAGCAACAUCAAUCGGUCACGGUUUACGCCUCAAUAGGCUGCAGUUUCUCUCUAUUUUCUUCCCCACCUGCUCCCCUCUCUUCCUGCACUCUCGCCACCUCUCGAUUUCGGCGAUAGUAGGGUGGAAAUCGAGGUGGUGGUGGAUGGAGAGGUAGGUAACGGCAACGAGGGCGAAGGUGAGGUGGCGGAGGAGGGCGAAGGGGUGGUGCGGACGGGGAUGUGGGCGAGGGCGAGGGCGAGGCAACGGAGGAGGGCGAGGCGGCGAAGCAACAGGAAGAGGGCGGAGGGGUAUUUUUGGUAGAAGAAAAUAUUUUAUAACGGAAUCCUAACAGAUCACUAACGGUAGGGGGCAAAGUGCACAUUUUUUAUUUUACAAGGAGGCAAAGUGUAGUUUUUUAAAUGACAGGGGUGGAAAGUGAAAAAUCUCGUUUUGACAGGGGGGUUUUCUAUAAUUUAGCCAAAAUUAAAAUUUUCAUUUUUUGUUGUUUUUCAAAGAAAAACAAAAAUUCUAUGGAAUUAAUUUACUAUUAUACAAUAAUUUAUUUAUAAAUAUUAUAUUUAUAUAUGAUAUAAUAUAUUACAUGUGUUAUUAUCUAUUAUCUUAUAUAAAUAAAUUAUUAUAUUAUAUAUUAUAUAGAGUUGGGUUGGGAUGCUAUUGAUAGCAUCCAGCCAACUUUGCCACCUAUUUUAUAACCCUUGGAUCGCAUCGAGAUCCGUGCCACACCUUUAGUCAAAACUUGAGAAAAGCUCCAUUAGAUCCCCUCCGUUAUCUCUCUUUUUCUCUCUCUCUCUCUCUCUUUGUCUCUCUCUCUCUCUCUCUCUUCUUUUCUUUUUUCUUUUCCUUUCUUCUCCACAGACCUCACCUCCCGCCAAACCUCCCUCCUCCACAGCAUGCCCACCUCCCACCUCGCCCACUCGCCCCCUCGCCGCAGUUUUCGCCCGCCCGCUUGCUCUCUCACUUUCUCUCUUUCUUCUUUUCUUUUUCUUUUUCCUUUCUUCUCCACAGAGCUUACCACCAAACCCUCCCUCCUCCACACCCCGCCCACCUCCCAUCUCGCCCACCUCGCCCACUCGUCCCCUCGCUUGCUCGCUCGCUUGCUGGCUCGCUCACCCCCUUGCCUACUUCUCAGGUUUGAUUCUUUGUUUUAUUUUUUUUAGUUGUUUGGUGAAUAAAUUAUAGGAAAAAAAUAUUAUUUGGUGAAACAAAUUACAGGAAAAAAAAUAUUGUUCUGUGUUUAAAAAAUCUGAAAAAAAAAUCUGAUUUUAUUAUACAAAAUUUGAAUUUAUUAUAAAAUCUGAUUUUAUUAUACAAAAUCUGAUUUUAUUAUUCUAGCAUCUAUUUUAUUAAUCUCUUGGCUACUUGCAAUUCUUGUCCUUAGAACUAUUGAUAUUGAGUAAGUGAUUACACAGGCUCUGAUUCUAUGAAAGAAAAGAUAGUGUACGGAAUUCAUGUGUAUUAGCAUUCUUUGAUGAUUUUUUUCUAUGCACAGAGAAGGUUGCUCUUCUUAUUUUUUAACUACAUUUCUGCAAUUUUGAAUGAGAGUUUUUAAGUGUUUAAUGUUUUGAGUUCAGUGAUUUAGACUACUGAAAUCUACAGUUGGUAAAUAUCAUGCUUCUUACUAAUUUUUAUUUUUAUUUUUAUUUUUUCUGAAGGUUGGAGUCAAAUGGAUUAGAUAAUAAUGUUGAGAUAGGUGAAGUCUGUCUCAAAUGGUCUGUCACAGUAAACUGAAAAGGAUGGUGCUACAUAUACUACAAAAGGCCAAGAAGAGACAGAUAGCUCAAGUGACUCUGUAUGAAGAUAAACUUGUAACAUGCGUAAACAAUGGCUGAACUAGGCUUCUUGUUUGUAGUAUGUAUUUUGCUAGUAAUAACUCUGAAAUGAUACUUAUUAUCCAGAUAGUUUAACUUGUAGAAUGUUCAAGUGAUCUGGAUGAUUUAACUUAUUGUAGAAUGUUUAUCAUCGACAGGUAUUUGUUGCUUUCUGCUGUCUCCUUUUCCACUGUUGUUAAAAUUUGGUGCUCUGCUUCAUGCUAUAGUGUUUCAUUUGCUUUGUGUAACUCUGCUCAUACUGACUUCUCUAGAACUUCUGGAUGGACCAAAUUAACUUUGCCCUUAAUAGGCACCAAAAGUACCAUAGAAUGUUUGAAUAUUUGGUUUUAUUAUUAGGAAUACUGAUUUGAAGAAUUUUUUUUUUCAAACUGUGGAGUUUUUAAGCUGCAAAUGACUCGCAACCAGCUAUAGUUAGGCUAUGUGUGGAUUAUUGCAUUUGUGGAUUAUUGCAUUUAUUCUGAUUUGGAGUUUUUUUUUUCAAACUGUGGAGUUUUUCAAACUGUACCAUAUAAUGUUUGAAUUUUUUUUUCAAACUGUGGAGUUUUCAAACUGUGGAGUUUAUUCUUACCUAUAAUUAAGCAGGCCUAUCAUGAUAAUGUGGACAACAGAUCUAUUCUUUAAAAAUAGUGGCCUAUCCUGACCUGUGAGAUGGCUACUUGACAAAUUGGUAUUUAGUGUAGAACACAAUCAAAUUAAAGAUAUAAAAUCAUACAACACAAUCAAAUUAAAGAUAUAAAUUCAUUAAUUAAAAAUAGUGGUUACAAACAUAGUUCAAAUAGCCUUUAGUUACAUUAAAAUCUUCACAUACAUCAUUGCGACGAAGACAAACAGUACAACCAAAUACAACUUUAUCUUAAAAAUUCUUCUAUCUGUAAACUAAGAAGCAGUAAUUUAAUUACUAUUUUAUACGAAACCACAUUUAUAUUAAACAAGGAUCAUGGAACAAGGAUGACAUUAUGCUCAAUCUCCACCAAAGGGGCAGAAUCAGGCAGUUCUGCUAUGUCUGACCAAGAAGCUGCCGCCCUAUAAACCAAUUCAAACGGAGAAGCUAAGCAAGUCGAAACCGGUUUGAAUGGCAAUAAUUCCAUGCAUUCGGAAAAUGAGAAACAAACUGAUCUUGGGAAGCCCCCUAGGGAUGAAAGUGUGGAAGAAAACUGCGACGAGGAAUUAGGCAAGUGCUUCGAACUUGUGUCCUGAUAUAAAAAAAUCAGAUUUUAUAAUAAAAUCAGAUUUUAUAAUAAAUUCAGAUUUUGUAAUAAAAUCAUAUUUUAUAAUAAAUUCAGAUUUUUGAAAAUCAGAUUUUAUAAUAAAUUCAGAUUUUGUAUAAUAAAAUCAUUUUUUUUUCAGAUUUUUUAAAAACAGAACAACAUUUUUUUUUCUGUAAUUUGUUUCACCAAAUAAUAUUUUUUUCCUAUAAUUUAUUCACCAAACAACUAAAAAAAAGAAGAAAGAAUCAAACCUAAGAAGUAGGCGAGGGGGCGAGCGAGCCAGCAAGCGAGCGAGCAGGCGAGGGGGCGAGUUGGCGAGGUGGGCGAGAUGGGAGGUGGGCGGGGUGUGGAGGAGGGAGGAUUUGGUGGUAAGCUCUGUGGAGAAGAAAGGAAAAAGAAAAAGAAAAGAAGAAAGAGAGAAAGUGAGAGAGCAAGCGGGCGGGCGAAAACUGCGGCGAAGGGGCGAGUGGGCGAGGUGGGAGGUGGGCGUGCUGUGGAGGAGGGAGGGUUUGGUGGGAGGUGAGGUCUGUGGAGAAGAAAGGAAAAGAAAAAAGAAAAGAAGAGAGAGAGAGAGAGAGAGAGAGAGAGAGAGAGAAGAAAGAGGGAUAACGGAGGGGAUCUAACGGAGCUUUUCCUAAGUUUUCACUAAAAGGGCUGCACGGAUCUCGAUGCGAUCCAAGGGUUACAAAAUGGGUAGCAAAGUUGGUUGGGUGCUAUCAAUAGCAUCCCAGCCCAACUCAUAUUACAUAUAUUAUAAUAUAAUAUAAUUUUGAAUGUAUAAGUAUAAUUUGGAAUAUAUUUAAAUUAUAAAUAUAGAUGAUGAUGUUGAUUCACUUAAAGCCUACAAACAUAGUGUCAACGGGUUUCAAUUGAGACUCGGCUCAACCAUUCAUAUGCCACUUUGAAUAUGACUCGACUCAAUCUGACUUCCCGUCAUUUCGAACUUGUUACAGACCAACCCGGCCUCCCGGCCCAUCCUGGUCUCUCACAACAUGGCAGGAUAUUGGUCCAUUUAAGCAUACAAUAAUAAUAAUAUAUAUAGAUAUAGAUAUAAAUUUUAAUUGUAAUAUAUAUAAUAUGAUAGUUAUUUAUAUAAAUAAUACAUAACAUAUAAUACAAAGAAAUUAUAUAAAAUUAUUUUCAUUCAAAAUUUUCCUUUCAACCAAAUAACUGUGGCUGAAAUUUUUUUUCUUCCUAUAAACCAAACGUUAAAAAAUGUAAAAAAAUUUCACGAAAUACUCUUUACCACUGAGGAUUAUUUUUCAUACUUUUACGUUAAAUCAAACCAACUCUUAGCUUAAUUUUAUUUUGCUAUCAUGUUUUUUCAAAAAAGUUGUACCUAAAUACUCUAAUUAUUUAGCUCAUUUUUACUUUGUUAUCCUCCGGUUAAAAAAAUAUUGCACGUACUAUUCUAUGAUUGUUAAAAAAUUUUAAUUUAUUAUUCUAUUGGAUACUAGAUUUUUUUUGAUAAAAUAAAGAUAAAAUUACAGAAUAAUUAAGCGUAAUUUUUUGAACCAUAGAGUGGUAAAAUAACAACGAGCUUAACCAUCAGGAGGUAAAUUGAAGUUUACACUAAAAAAAUUAAUAAUUGGAAUAUGUAGACUUUAAAAUAUUAUAUGUAUUCUAGUAAACUUGAAAAUUUGCAAAUUUAUCAUUUGGAGCAGUAAUAAGGAGUCGGCGAUUUAAUCACGAUCACUUUAUAUACUUGUUUUGGUUCUGAGAUGGUCUUCCUUAUAGCAGUGGUACUAUUUUACUGUAUCUUAAGCUAAUCAAGUUCCUCGUUUUGAGAAAAAAGUAUAAUAAUUUUUUUCUAAAAAUAUUUAUGAUUGGAUUGGUAAAUUCCAGGCAAAUUUGAUUAGUUGGAAACCACAAAAUAAUGUGGUACUGCUGCUUCAUUUUAGAAAUUUUCUUCUGAUUUCUUCUAUCUUGUUUAGAUAACAUAGAAGAUUAAAAGGCGUGUGGAUAGGACCAUUUUUUUAAAAAAGAAAGUUUAUAAAUGACAGUUUUUGACUAGUUCAAAAAUAUAUUUGAAUGUUUUUAAAAUUUACAAGUAUAUAUACAAAAGUUUAAAAGAAUAUAUAUGCAAAAUCCUAACUUUGUUAGUAUAUACUUUUAAGUAAAUAGUUAGCUCCUAAAGAGUUAUAUAGUUGAGGGAGUUACUUCAGAAUAAAUUGUAAGUUAAAUUACAAAAAAUCUUCCUGUCAAAACUUGCUCUUUCAUUUUCUUCUUGUCAUUUAAAAAUCUAUAAUUUGCCUCCUUAAAAAAUAAAAAAUAUUCACAGGAGGGUGCACUAUGAUAAAAUAACCACCCCUCAUCCUUUUCAUCUCCUCCCCAAUCCAAAACUUCUCCUCCGUUCUUCGCGCCUCCUUCAAUCCCAGCCCUGACUCCAUUUCCUCCACUUGCUCCCCCACUCCUUUAGCACUCUCACCGUCCCUCCGUUUUGGUGAUUACAGGGAGAAAGAUCGGGGUGGACGUGGAUGGAGAGGUGGGCAAGUGUGAGAGUGAGGCGGCGGAGGAGGCGAGGGCAUGUGUGUGGGCAUAGACAGAGGGGUGGGUAAGGGCGAGGUAGCGAAGAGCGAGGCGGCGACCGAGGACGUCGGUGAGGAAGAAUGAGAAUUUCAGGAGUAUUUUGGGUAUAAAAAAUAGGAUAUAAACGAGAACUCUAACGGAACACUGAUGAUGGGGGCCGAAGUGAAUUUUUUAUUUUUUAAGGGAACAAAGUGCGGAUUUUUAAAAGAUCGGGAGGAAAGUGAAAAAGCAAGUAUUGAGAGGAGGAGAUUGUCUGUAAUUUAGCCUAAAUUAUAGUUUGGAUUCUUGAAUCAAAGAUA
RNAcentral lists this long non-coding RNA (6207 nucleotides) under Ananas comosus (pineapple). RNAcentral's name for it is "long non-coding RNA (ACOM_LNC028944)". Lineage: Eukaryota; Viridiplantae; Streptophyta; Magnoliopsida; Poales; Bromeliaceae. The record is from RNAcentral.